AUGGCGGAUGCGGAGGCGCCCGCGGCGAAGCGGCUGGCACGCGCGGGCAGCUUCUCGGGCGUGUGGUGGAAGCUCGGCGACCCCGCGGGUGACCCGGCCGCGGUCGAGCGCCGGCUGCGCGCAGUCGCCGACGAGGAGGCCGCCGUCCGUGCCCGCAUUAGCAGGCGCCACGCCGGCGCCCGCGGCGUCCGGCGCGGCAUCGCCGUCGCCUCCCUUGCCAUCGAGGUCCGUCCGUCACCUUCUUCAUCUGCUAACUUGUUCAUCCAUCCGUUGCUCCCAUCAGCCGUCAUCUCAUCCCAUCUGAUCACCUCCUGUAAAUUUAUUCACCAGGUGGUGGCGUUGGUGCAUGCUUACUGGACGGCGAGGCGGCGGCGCGUGGCCGGCUGGAGCAGGAAGCUGCUGCUCCUGCUGGCUACUCCUCUGCUCGCCGUGCCGGCCUCGGCCGCCGUCGUCUUGGCCGCGUUCGCCAGGCUCCACAAGAUGUUGGACGCGCGGGACGAGCAGCGGCUGAGGGCGCUGGUGGCGGAGCGCAAGGCCAAGAUCGGGCAGUUCCGCGGCAGCCACCACAACAUGCAGAAGCUCAGCGAGGUCUCCACUAAGUACGAUCCAGAUGCUACUGCUGCUAGUUCCGACCAGCCGGUCGUGGCCGCGGCGGCCGCCGCCUCCGGGAGGAUCAAGCGGAGCCACUCGCGGCUGAGCUUCCACAUCGGAGACGACUGA
RNAcentral lists this ribosomal RNA (720 nucleotides) under Triticum aestivum (bread wheat). Its description in RNAcentral is "partial small subunit ribosomal RNA". The record is from RNAcentral. Lineage: Eukaryota; Viridiplantae; Streptophyta; Magnoliopsida; Poales; Poaceae.